Molecule: small RNA, 1148 nt
Filed under: Geosmithia pallida
Lineage: Eukaryota; Fungi; Ascomycota; Sordariomycetes; Hypocreales; Bionectriaceae
Description: eukaryotic LSU rRNA
Rfam family: Eukaryotic large subunit ribosomal RNA (bases 563-1148)
Source: RNAcentral
AGAGGAAGUAAAAGUCGUAACAAGGUCUCCGUUGGUGAACCAGCGGAGGGAUCAUUACAGAGUUACAAACUCCAAACCUUUGUGAACAUACCUACGUUGCUUCGGCGGCCUCGCCCCGGGCGUCGCGGUGCCCUAACGGGAGCCGCAGCGGCCGGACCCAGGCGACCGCCGGGGGACCCAAACUCUUGUUUUUACAGUGAAUUCUGAGUGGCAUAAGCAAAAUAAUCAAAACUUUCAGCAACGGAUCUCUUGGUUCUGGCAUCGAUGAAGAACGCAGCGAAAUGCGAUAAGUAAUGUGAAUUGCAGAAUUCAGUGAAUCAUCGAAUCUUUGAACGCACAUUGCGCCCGCCAGUACUCUGGCGGGCAUGCCUGUCCGAGCGUCAUUUCAACCCUCAGCACCCGCCUUCGCGGCGGGAGCUGGCGUUGGGGAUCGGCCGCCCUCAGCGGCGGCCGGCCCCGAAACGAAGUGGCGGCCGCGUCGCGACCUCCUCUGCGCAGUAGCGAUACCUCGCAGCCUGGAUAGCGGUGCGGCCACGCCGUAAAACCCCAACUUUACCAAGGUUGACCUCGGAUCAGGUAGGAAUACCCGCUGAACUUAAGCAUAUCAAUAAGCGGAGGAAAAGAAACCAACAGGGAUUGCCUCAGUAACGGCGAGUGAAGCGGCAACAGCUCAAAUUUGAAAUCUGGCCCCCAGGCCCGAGUUGUAAUUUGUAGAGGAUGCUUCUGGCGACGCGACUUCCGAGUUCCCUGGAACGGGACGCCAAAGAGGGUGAGAGCCCCGUCCGGUCGUUCGCCUAGCCUCUGUGAAGCUCCUUCGACGAGUCGAGUAGUUUGGGAAUGCUGCUCUAAAUGGGAGGUAUACGUCUUCUAAAGCUAAAUACCGGCCAGAGACCGAUAGCGCACAAGUAGAGUGAUCGAAAGAUGAAAAGCACUUUGAAAAGAGGGUUAAAUAGUACGUGAAAUUGCUGAAAGGGAAGCGCUUAUGACCAGACUUGGGCCAGGUGAAUCAUCCGGCGUUCUCGCCGGUGCACUUUGCCUGCCCAGGCCAGCAUCAGUUCGCUCCGGGGGAUAAAGGCUUCGGGAAUGUAGCUCCUCCGGGAGUGUUAUAGACCGUUGCGUAAUACCCUGGGGCGGACUGAGGUACGCGU